This 253-nucleotide ribosomal RNA is filed under the name uncultured bacterium. Its description in RNAcentral is "partial 16S ribosomal RNA". It matches the Rfam family "Bacterial small subunit ribosomal RNA", at positions 524 to 776 of the family's 1533-position model. The record is from RNAcentral.
UACGAAGGGUGCAAGCGUUACUCGGAAUCAUUGGGCGUAAAGGGCAGGUAGGUGGUUACGUAUGUCUGAGGUGAAAUCCCCGAGCUUAACUUGGGAAGUGCCUUGGAAACGGCGUAACUAGAGUAUCGGAGAGGGUCGUAGAAUUCCCGGUGUAGCGGUGAAAUGCGUAGAGAUCGGGAGGAAUACCAGAGGCGAAGGCGGCGACCUGGACGAGUACUGACACUCAACUGCGAAAGCGUGGGGAGCAAACAGG